GGUUGCGAAAUUAACAGCAAUGAAAAUGGCGAAACGAAACUUGUGAAUCGUGCAUUUGCUCUUCAUGGUAGCUGCCAGAAAAUCGAAUCAAACUUAUGGGACACUGGAUUACAGGUUGCUGCCACUACUCCAUGUGCCCGCAAUUGUCUUGCGUGUAUGAUUACACUAACGACGUCGCCCACCACGGCGGAAGUGUUUUGCGUACACGCGUUUCAGCAUGAAGCCUGCAGGUGGACGUAAAUUGUAGAAGGCAGCUAGUGG
Long non-coding RNA from Ornithodoros turicata, 261 nucleotides. RefSeq lists it as uncharacterized. The transcript has 3 exons. The record is from RefSeq and is a predicted model, not a curated record. NCBI's taxonomy places the organism in Eukaryota, Metazoa, Arthropoda, Arachnida, Ixodida, Argasidae.